This 73-nucleotide transfer RNA is filed under the name Camelus bactrianus (Bactrian camel). It matches the Rfam family "tRNA". Rfam says of the family: Transfer RNA (tRNA) molecules are approximately 80 nucleotides in length. Their secondary structure includes four short double-helical elements and three loops (D, anti-codon, and T loops). Further hydrogen bonds mediate the characteristic L-shaped molecular structure. tRNAs have two regions of fundamental functional importance: the anti-codon, which is responsible for specific mRNA codon recognition, and the 3' end, to which the tRNAs corresponding amino acid is attached (by aminoacyl-tRNA synthetases). tRNAs cope with the degeneracy of the genetic code in two manners: having more than one tRNA (with a specific anti-codon) for a particular amino acid; and 'wobble' base-pairing, i.e. permitting non-standard base-pairing at the 3rd anti-codon position. Lineage: Eukaryota; Metazoa; Chordata; Mammalia; Artiodactyla; Camelidae. The record is from Rfam by way of RNAcentral. RNAcentral also lists the same sequence under 2 other names.
GAGGGUAUAACUCAAUGGUUAGAAUACAUGUUUAGCAUGCAUGAGGUUCUGGGUUUAAUCCCCAGUACUUGUG